UUUCAAAGCUGCAGUGGAAGACAUGCCUGAGUUCUCCGCGCACCAGUGCCAGGAUGCAAGCCUCCGCCCUCCCAGGAAACUGGCCAGUGAUAUUCCAUCUCCCUUCCUGCUGUCAGCUUCUUGACGGAAGAAGAUACAGACACAGAGGAGAAGGUCAUGUGAAGACAAAGGCAGAGACUGGAACGAUACCUCUACAAGCCACAGAACGCCAGGAACUACCAGAGGCUGGAAGAUGCAAAGAUCCUCCCCCAGAACCUCCAGAGGAAGCGUGGCCCUGCCGACACCCUGAUGAUGGACGUCUGGCCUCCAGAACUGGGGUAGAAGAGAUAGGUAGCUGCUCCGGGAAGAAAGAACUGUAAGAGAACAGAUGGCAGCGGGGGACCACUGAACGCCUAAGAGGACAAGACGUGCACGACAAGAUAGAAGAUCUUCAAAGACAAUGCUCAAAAUGUGGGCAAAGGAAAUUAAUAGACACAUCACGGAAAAGACCUAAGUCAGAAGUUCACAGGAAGAUGGUACAGUUCACUAUUAAUAUCUCACGUGCAUGUUUUUCAAAUUUUCACAAUGUUUUAAGAUACAAGGAGACUCCUCAUACCCAAAUACUGACCUGUAAGGAUGUUCUGCAACAUCAGUGUGUCUUCCAACCUAACUACAUUAACACAAGUAAACCUCAAAAUGCUUACUAACUUGAAUGAUAAAUUGUAAAAGUAACAUUUAUUUUACUGAAUGCCAAGACUACCGAAGACCAAAAGUGUUCUUUAGCUUAUAAAUGGUCCACUUGUAAUUUGCUAGCACAACUUUAGAAGUGCUUUCAAGGGGGGGAAAAAACACUCAAAAUAUAAACAAACUCUCAUCUUCAAUAAGACUCCAUUACUGUAAAAGGUUAAGGAUGGAUCUUAAAUAGCUCAUAAACAGAGAAAGUAUGCCUGGAUUGAUUUAAGAAACCUGUAAAAUCUUAUAGAUUUACUUACCCUAGUAUAAAUUUCAUCACUAACCU
Lagenorhynchus albirostris (white-beaked dolphin) is the source of this 997-nucleotide long non-coding RNA. RefSeq lists it as uncharacterized. The transcript is spliced from 3 exons. Lineage: Eukaryota; Metazoa; Chordata; Mammalia; Artiodactyla; Delphinidae. The record is from RefSeq and is a predicted model, not a curated record.